UGGGGAAUAUUGCACAAUGGGCGCAAGCCUGAUGCAGCCAUGCCGCGUGUAUGAAGAAGGCCUUCGGGUUGUAAAGUACUUUCAGCGGGGAGGAAGGCAGUAAAGUUAAUACCUUUGCUCAUUGACGUUACCCGCAUAAGAAGCACCGGCUAACUCCGUGCCAGCAGCCGCGGUAAUACGGAGGGUGCAAGCGUUAAUCGGAAUUACUGGGCGUAAAGCGCACGCAGGCGGUUUGUUAAGUCAGAUGUGAAAUCCCCGGGCUCAACCUGGGAACUGCACCUGAUACUGGCAAGCUUGAGUAUGGUAGAGGGGGGUAGAAUUCCAGGUGUAGCAGUGAAAUGCGUAGAGAUCUGGAGGAAUACCGGUGGCGAAGGCGGCCCCCUGGACGAAGACUGACGCUCAGGUGCGAAAGCGUGGGGAGCAAACAGG
RNAcentral lists this ribosomal RNA (429 nucleotides) under Chloroflexota bacterium. Its description in RNAcentral is "Chloroflexi bacterium partial 16S ribosomal RNA". It matches the Rfam family "Bacterial small subunit ribosomal RNA", at positions 355 to 776 of the family's 1533-position model. The record is from RNAcentral. Lineage: Bacteria; Bacillati; Chloroflexota.